Molecule: ribosomal RNA, 255 nt
Filed under: uncultured archaeon
Lineage: Archaea
Description: partial 16S ribosomal RNA
Rfam family: Bacterial small subunit ribosomal RNA
Source: RNAcentral
UAAUACAUAGGGGGCAAGCGUUGUCCGGAUUUAUUGGGCGUAAAGGGUACGCAGGCGGUCCUUUAAGUCAGAUGUGAAAUCUUACGGCUCAACCGUAAUUAGCAUUUGAAACUGGAGGACUUGAGUUAAGGAGAGGAAAGUGGAAUUCCUAGUGUAGCGGUGAAAUGCGUAGAUAUUAGGAGGAAUACCAGUGGCGAAGGCGACUUUCUGGACUUAUACUGACGCUGAGGUACGAAAGCGUGGGGAGCAAACAGG